RNA transcript from Piliocolobus tephrosceles (Ugandan red Colobus), 694 nucleotides. It is a transcript of the gene named translation initiation factor IF-2, mitochondrial-like, with no coding region annotated. The record is from RefSeq and is a predicted model, not a curated record. NCBI's taxonomy places the organism in Eukaryota, Metazoa, Chordata, Mammalia, Primates, Cercopithecidae. The transcript is spliced from 4 exons.
CGUCUAACUCUUCAAAGCAACAAUUAUAAACUUUUUCUGUAUUUAGGUGAUGUUGAUGGUUCUGUUGAGGCCAUUUUGAACAUUAUAGAUACCUAUGAUGCUUCACACGAGUGUGAACUAGAAUUAGUACAUUUUGGAGUGGGUGAUAUAAGUGCAAAUGAUGUUAACCUUGCUGAAACAUUUAAUGGUGUUAUAUACGGGUUUAAUGUGAAUGUAGGCAAAGUUAUCCAACAGUCGGCUGCAAAAAAAGGUGUAAAAAUUAAACUUCACAAAAUAAUUUACCGUCUUGUUGAAGAUUUGCAAGAGGAACUGAGCAGCAGAUAACCCUGUGCUGUGGAAGAACACCCAGUAGGUGAGGCAUCUAUACUAGCUACCUUCUCUGUAACAGAAGGGAAGAAAAAAGUUCCUGUGGCUGGCUGCAGAGUCCAAAAGGGACAGUUAGAAAAACAAAAAAAAAUUAAAUUAAUCCAUAAUGGACAUGUAAUUUGGAAGGGUUCAUUAACCUCACUGAAACACCAAAAAGAUGGCAUCUCAAUUGUCAAAACGGAAAUGGAUUGUGGUCUCAGUUUAGAUGAAGAAAAUAUGGACUUUAAAGUGGGAGAUAGAAUUGUUUGUUACAAAGAAAAACAAAUUCAAGCCAAGACUUCUUGGGAUCCGGGAUUUUAAAAUUACAUUAAAGAUGUAAAUAACUCAA